GACGAACGCUGGCGGCGUGCCUAAUACAUGCAAGUAGAACGCAGUUGCGAACGGGUGAGUAACGCGUAGGUAACUGCCUCAUAGCGGGGGAUAACUAUUGGAAACGAUAGCUAAUACCGCCUACUGUGAGAUGGACCUGCGUUGUAUUAGCUAGUUGGUGGGGUAAAUGCUCACCAAGGCGACGAUACAUAGCCGGCCUGAGAGGGGGAACGGGCACAAUGUGACGUGGGCACGGGCCAGAAUGCCACGGGAGGGAGGAGUAGGGAAAUGUUGGCAAUGGGCGGAAAUCUGACCGAGGAACGGCGGGGGGGUUAAAGAAGUUUUCGGAUUGGAAAGCUUCGUUGUGAGAGAAGCGGUAACUAACCAGAAAGGGACGGCUAACUACGUGCCAGCAGCCGCGGUAAUAC
Molecule: ribosomal RNA, 407 nt
Filed under: uncultured bacterium
Lineage: Bacteria
Description: partial 16S ribosomal RNA
Rfam family: Bacterial small subunit ribosomal RNA
Source: RNAcentral